GCCGAAAUUCUAGUUCUUUUUUUCAUCAGGACGUACAAAACAAAACAUUUGAAAAGGCCAGUAAGGGAGAUUGAAGGCCGCAUGGACACUAUAGAAGCAGUACCGCAAGGGAAAGAAAUAAAGCAAUAAAAAGCAAAGAUAAAACCUUGUACCUUUUGCAUCAUGGUUUAGCAAGACACGCUGAGCAAGGCGCCCCGAGCUCGGCACCCCGAAACCAAGUGAGCUACCCCACAACAGGAAACAAACCCGUCUCUGUAGCAAAAGAGUGGGGAGAUUGUCGGGUAGCGGUGAAAAGCCUAUCGGACUUGGCGAUAGCUGGUUGCCCGAAAUUGAACCUAAGUUCUACCUUGAAGCUGUCGCCGCUAAGCCGGAGAUCAAGGGAACUCAUUAGGGGUACAGCCCUAAUGAACGGGGACACAACCCUCACCUGAGAGUAAGCCGUAAAAUUUUUACCGUGGGCUUUUAAGCGGCCAUCAAUAAAAACAGCGUCAAAGCGCUCAACCGCUAAUUCAAAACGCAACCACCACCUCCAGCAAGAAUCAGGGCAACUCUACAUCUGUAGAAAAACCAAUGCUAAAACUACUAAUAAGGGACCAACCCUCUAAGCACGCCCAUCAGUUGGAACGGACCGACCCGCCAACAGUUAUCAAUAACCCAAAGCAAACCCAAAUCACGGACCUUUCACUAGCUGUGACACCAACACCGGCAUGCCUCAAAGAAAGAUAAAAAGCCACAGAAGGAACUCGGCAAGCACAGACUCCAACUGUUUACCAAAAACAUAACCUUUAGCCCACCCAGUAUUAAAGGCAUCGCCUGCCCAGUGAGAGAACCUCUUUAACGGCCGCGGUACCCUAACCGUGCGAAGGUAGCAUAAUCACUUGUCUAUUAAUCAUAGACUGGCAUGAAAGGCUGCAUGAGAGUCAAACUGUCUCCUGUGGCCCAUCAAUGAAACUGAUCUUACAGUCAAAAAGCUGUAAUACCCCCAUAAGACGAGAAGACCCUGUGAAACUUUCAACGACCCCUUUCCCCAGGAGAGGGUACUUUUAGUUGGGGCAACUUUGGAAAAAACCCAACUUCCAAACACCUGAGCACCCACCAUUGCACGGCCAACAAGCCUUAAUUAUACGACCCAGUACACCUGAUAAAUGAACCAAGCUACUCCAGGGAUAACAGCGCCAUCUUCUUCAAGAGCCCAUAUCAAAAAGAAGGUUUACGACCUCGAUGUUGGAUCAGGGCACCCCAGUGGCGCAGCCACUACUAAAGGUUCGUUUGUUCAACGAUUAAUAGC
Molecule: ribosomal RNA, 1288 nt
Filed under: Leptotyphlops nigricans
Lineage: Eukaryota; Metazoa; Chordata; Lepidosauria; Squamata; Leptotyphlopidae
Description: partial 16S ribosomal RNA
Rfam family: Bacterial large subunit ribosomal RNA
Source: RNAcentral